AGUGGUUGGAUAAAGCACAUCCACUCUCAGGGCAGGGAUGAGGAGCACUCUGUCCUGUGAGGAUCCUCUGGCACAUGCUGAGGUCUGGAUUUACAGUGCAGCCUUUUCACCCUGGAAGCAGAACCUGCUCCUUCAUGUGCCAGCCCAGGGCUGUUCCCUGGGAGCCCUGAUCCUGUCCCUGCCCCCCUGCAGCUGGCCUGCCCUGGUCACUCCCCACAGCCACCCCUGAUCCCUGAUCCUGGCAUUUUCCCUUCCCUCUCCUCUCUCACUGCUCAUGCUGCUGGCCCUGAGCUCUGCUCCACAGGAGCUUUUCCAGCCUGUUCUGUCCUCAACCAGACCACGUGGAUUCCCUUAUUCCCUUCCCUUCUGAGCACAGUAAAUCUGUCUCUGGAUGCAGCCAUCCAUCCCUGUCCAUCCAAAGCCCCUUUUCCCUGGAAAAGCUGGAGGAACAUUUUCUCCAUCCCAUGUCCUGCUCUGCCAGUGCUUCCCCUCAGCCCUGGGCCUGCCUCCCUCAGCUCCCUUCAUUCCCUUGUGCACAGGCAAAAGAAUUCCCAUCACUUCUGUGGUCUGUUGUUAACCUCAGCAUCCCUUUGGGAAUCUCCCCUGGUGGCUGCAGCUCAUCCCUGCCUGGGGAAUCACAAGCUCCAGCUGCUGUUCCCCCUUUUUCCCCUGUCCUGUCUCUGUGCCACGCUCUGCUUUUCCCUCCUGUCCAUCCCAGGUUAUUUUCUCCCCACCUGUCUCCUCUGCUCUAUUCCUUACAAAACCAGGAAAAACGGGAUCCUGACUCCAGAUUUCCAGGCUGGACCAUUAUGAUCAUUGGUGCCAUUCUGAUUUAUUCUGUUUCAAUAUCUGUUUAUAACACACGAGUUUCAUUGUGUGCAACGAUGGAGAUAAAUUUUGGCCCCUUACUUUUCACAGCCAUUUUCCAGCUGUAUAUCAUCCAUUCUCCUCUCAUUUAGAUACUGACUCCUACUUCAGGAAAAAUAAAAAUAUCCCAGUAGUGUAGGUAAUAAAGCUGGGGAAACAAACUCGGAAGUGCAUUUUACAAUGGAAUUUGAUUGUGAUAAUUUUUCAUGUGUUAAAAAAGGAGCACGCUGGCUUUCUCUGGGAACUGUUUGGGUUUAUGCUUUGUUGGGAUUUUGGUUUUUUCCAUCCCCAGCUUGUAGUCAUGUGGAAGAUUUAUUUCAUUAUUUAUUUUAAUUUUUUUUCCACAGAGAAGCAUCUCUGCAUUUAUUAGCUGAGUUCAUUGAAAAGCUGUAUUUUGUAAUUUAAUGAGGCUGGAAGUUGCACAGGUAACAGCUGAAACAAAAACUCCUGGCAGUGUGAAUUCCCAUUUUGGAAGUGCACCUCCCUGCAAGCCUGCUGUAAACAUCUACAAAAAAAUACUGCAGAACGUUAUAAAAGAGAAGAUUACCAAGUUGGAGGGUCAGAUGGGUAGAAAAUUACGAGCUGCUCGUCCGUGUGCUCAGCCUUCGCCUGCGAUUGCAUCUGCUGCAGGAACAUCCCAGUGCUCCUCCAGAACAUCCCAGUGCUCCUCCAGAACAUCCCAGUGCUCCUCCAGGAACAUCCCAGUGCUCCUCCAGAACAUCCCAGUGCUCCUCCAGAAC
Molecule: long non-coding RNA, 1607 nt
Organism: Parus major (Great Tit)
Lineage: Eukaryota; Metazoa; Chordata; Aves; Passeriformes; Paridae
Exons: 3
Source: RefSeq, a predicted model, not a curated record